UAGGGAAUCUUCCGCAAUGGACGAAAGUCUGACGGAGCAACGCCGCGUGAGUGAUGAAGGUUUUCGGAUCGUAAAGCUCUGUUGUUAGGGAAGAACAAGUACAAGAGUAACUGCUUGUACCUUGACGGUACCUAACCAGAAAGCCACGGCUAACUACGUGCCAGCAGCCGCGGUAAUACGUAGGUGGCAAGCGUUGUCCGGAAUUAUUGGGCGUAAAGCGCGCGCAGGCGGUCCUUUAAGUCUGAUGUGAAAGCCCACGGCUCAACCGUGGAGGGUCAUUGGAAACUGGGGGACUUGAGUGCAGAAGAGAAGAGUGGAAUUCCACGUGUAGCGGUGAAAUGCGUAGAGAUGUGGAGGAACACCAGUGGCGAAGGCGACUCUUUGGUCUGUAACUGACGCUGAGGCGCGAAAGCGUGGGGAGCAAACAGGAUUAGAUACCCUGGUA
This 445-nucleotide ribosomal RNA is filed under the name uncultured bacterium. RNAcentral's name for it is "bacterial SSU rRNA". It matches the Rfam family "Bacterial small subunit ribosomal RNA", at positions 355 to 792 of the family's 1533-position model. The record is from RNAcentral.